ACUGGUUGUGAGCACUUGGAAUGCCUGUGAUACCUGCUGACUUGUGAUUGGGCAGAAAAGUCACCAUCCUCUUAUUUCCAAUCCCAGAUUAGAAGAAACGGGUGUGCAGGGAGGCAGCAUGAGGAAGGACUGGAGUGGGUCUACGACCUACCUGAAGAAUGGGUAACACGAAAAAAGCACAUCCCUGCCACCACCUUGCCUGGAGGAAUACGAUAUAAAACCCUGAACAAUUUGUCAGUUACUGCAUGAAAUAAAAAUGAAAUAUUAAAGGGACACUGCCAGUUUCAAGCCCCCGCUUCUGUCAGCCAGUGUUUCACCUACUGUUCCCACAAGAAGCAACUAAAAAUCUCUCCAACUGGAAGAGAUUGGAGAAAAGCCUUUCAGCUCUGCUGGAACAGAAAUCAGGAGCCUGCUAAAGUCAUCGCCGUUAAAAAGGCAGCCAGGAAUCUUUCCACGAAACAGAUGCGUCCGGAUGGCUGAAGGUACCUUUGAGGUGUGAAAUAGCUCAGCCUGUUAAAGCUGGAGGCCUCGCUGAGGGCAGCCCCUGCAGUGUCCGUACUGGGCUGCACGUGAUGCUGCUGCUUCCCAAGUCUCGGCUCCGGUGAGCCAGACACAUGUCGGGCAAGAGCAAAAAUCACUCGCCCGGGGAAAUGGAUUCUCCUUCAGCCAUUAGGUGAGAGGAGACAGCCGGGUCCUCUGGGGAGUCGCGGAGAAGCCGAGACUCCUGGAAAGCCGCGGAGCCAAGGGCCUGUCUGUAAAACAAGUCACCGCGGAAGAAACGCUGCUGUCACCAGGCUCUGAAGAAAGCCAGGCACCCUCCGGCCCCGCAGCAGGAUGGCUCAGGCGAGGCACUAGCCACUCAAUCAUCGCUGCUUGCUGAAUGCCUGUCUCCUUGCUGUCUGUGUCCCCGCAGUGUCUGUCCCCUUGCACUUCUGUCUAGCCUUAUUCCAGUCUGUAACCCCGUGCACACGUUCUCUGCCUUCGCAUACAGACCCGCGGUAGCGCUGCAGGGAUGUUGCAGCCGCGAUGAUCCAGGAACUACGCGAGAGGCCAGGUUUCUCAUGGUUUAUAUCUUGUUGGACCAACUGGUUGCACUAACAAGCUUUGGGGAUUCUUCUUCAGGUCCCAGAAAAAAGCAGGCCCAGCUAGGUCUAAAACGGUCUGCAAGUCUGUUAAAUUGCUGCAAUCAAAAGCUUGUCUAAAUCUAGCCCACCUGUGGCAUUGGGCCAAUCAAAGGUAUCACCCACAAAAAGACUUGCCUCUCCCAUAUUUCAUGGUCUUCUGCGUAUAGGUGUGUCUAUAACUUCCUACAUAGCUCCCUCUCCUUAUGUAUUACCCAUUUAUCUGUCUAACCCAGUGACUGUCAACCAAGGGGGCAUAGGAUGAUACGUAAUAUUAGCACUGUUAGGCGAGCAAACGCGAUUUGCAAGACAAACCCAGAGAUUUCACAUAGGAAUCCAUAGCAUUAAAUACACUCUGGCUUGCUGUGGUCUUUCUGAGGUCUUUGCAAUGGAAACGCUGCUCUAUUAUUUUUCCGUAGCUGAAAAAUGAGUGAGCUGGUCUUUCUUGAGGGGUGCCUCAAGCUUAAAGGGGGGGGCCUCAAAUCUAAAAAGGUUGACAACCAGUGGUCUAGCGCCAGGGAUGGAUCUAGGGUUUGGCAACCCGCUCCUCCUGCCAACCCAUUGCCUCUGCUGCUGUCGCUGUUCCCAGCUGAGCCCACCCAGGGGCAGCCUUGAAGCCUCCCCUGGCAGUCGGAAAAGCAAU
Long non-coding RNA from Alligator mississippiensis (American alligator), 1764 nucleotides. RefSeq lists it as uncharacterized. Lineage: Eukaryota; Metazoa; Chordata; Crocodylia; Alligatoridae. The transcript is spliced from 3 exons. The record is from RefSeq and is a predicted model, not a curated record.